Long non-coding RNA from Bolinopsis microptera, 335 nucleotides. RefSeq lists it as uncharacterized. The record is from RefSeq and is a predicted model, not a curated record. NCBI's taxonomy places the organism in Eukaryota, Metazoa, Ctenophora, Tentaculata, Lobata, Bolinopsidae. The transcript is spliced from 3 exons.
GGACCGUGCUGUCCGCGCGUGACGUCGAGAAAGUCAACCUUAUUUACAACUGCGACUGCAAGAUAGUGAACACAACACACACUUACACUCGCAGAUAUUGGGGAGAGUGCACCUACCUCUUCGGUCUGAUUACCUGGCGCUGCAUCAAGGAGGAAGAGGUUAAUGAGAUUUGGAGCAAGAAGAAAUGCACAGACAGAACUCACAAAUGGAACUGUUUAGCUAUAGUUUACAAUGAGGACUUGGAAGAUGAUAAGAUGAUACGACCCCGUGAAUUGUGCCAAUUUAAACUUCUUUACUGAUUUAUUGACAGUCGAAAAAGUUAGUUUCCUGAUUUU